This 336-nucleotide unclassified non-coding RNA is filed under the name soil metagenome. Its description in RNAcentral is "partial contains 5.8S ribosomal RNA, internal transcribed spacer 2, and large subunit ribosomal RNA". The stretch from base 1 to 120 matches the Rfam family "5.8S ribosomal RNA", at positions 35 to 154 of the family's 154-position model. The record is from RNAcentral.
GAUGAAGAACGCAGCGAAAUGUGAUAAGUAAUGUGAAUUGCAGAAUUCAGUGAAUCAUCGAAUCUUUGAACGCACAUUGCGCCCCUUGGUAUUCCGGGGGGCAUGCCUGUUCGAGCGUCAUUUCAACCCUCAAGCUCUGCUUGGUAUUGGGCUCCGUCCUCCUCGGACGCGCCUCAAAGACCUCGGCGGUGGCGUCUUGCCUCAAGCGUAGUAGAAACACCUCGCUUUGGAGUGCAUGGCGUCGCCCGCCGGACGAAACCUUUUGUAUUUUCUCAAGGUUGACCUCGGAUCAGGUAGGGAUACCCGCUGAACUUAAGCAUAUCAAUAAGCGGAGGA